AUAAACCCAAUGACUGUGAGGAAUAGUGAUCCUGCCGUCCAGAGAGAAAGGCCAGAGCUGAAAGGCCUUUUCGGGAAGCCACUAGAGGUCGCACAGGAGGGGCGGAGGGGAAUGGAGUACUCUCUGACGGAGGAACCCGUUAGCGUUUGCCAAGUGCUGAGGAAACCAAUGUUUCUCAGAAUAAAGGUGGUACCACGGAAGCUUUUCGUCCUUUGA
This 216-nucleotide non-coding RNA is filed under the name Desulfosporosinus youngiae. Its description in RNAcentral is "T-box sequence". It matches the Rfam family "T-box leader". Rfam says of the family: Uncharged tRNA acts as the effector for transcription antitermination of genes in the T-box leader family. T-boxes are found upstream of many aminoacyl-tRNA synthetase genes and some amino acid biosynthetic genes usually in Gram-positive bacteria. The anticodon of a specific tRNA base pairs to a specifier sequence within the T-box motif, and the NCCA acceptor tail of the tRNA base pairs to a conserved bulge in the T-box antiterminator hairpin. The record is from RNAcentral. Lineage: Bacteria; Bacillati; Bacillota; Clostridia; Eubacteriales; Desulfitobacteriaceae.